This 500-nucleotide ribosomal RNA is filed under the name uncultured bacterium. RNAcentral describes it as "partial 16S ribosomal RNA". It matches the Rfam family "Bacterial small subunit ribosomal RNA", at positions 30 to 523 of the family's 1533-position model. The record is from RNAcentral.
AUUGAACGCUGGCGGAAUGCUUUACACAUGCAAGUCGAACGGCAGCACGGACUUCGGUCUGGUGGCGAGUGGCGAACGGGUGAGUAAUGUAUCGGAACGUGCCCAGUCGUGGGGGAUAACGUAGUGAAAAUUACGCUAAUACCGCAUACGCUCUAUGGAUGAAAGCGGGGGAUCGCAAGACCUCGCGCGAUUGGAGCGGCCGAUACCAGAUUAGGUAGUUGGUGGGGUAAAGGCCCACCAAGCCAACGAUCUGUAGCUGGUCUGAGAGGACGACCAGCCACACUGGAACUGAGACACGGUCCAGACUCCUACGGGAGGCAGCAGUGGGGAAUUUUGGACAAUGGGCGAAAGCCUGAUCCAGCCAUUCCGCGUGCAGGAUGAAGGCCCUCGGGUUGUAAACUGCUUUUGUACAGAACGAAAAGGUUUCUACUAAUACUAGGAGCUCAUGACGGUACUGUAAGAAUAAGCACCGGCUAACUACGUGCCAGCAGCCGCGGUAA